This 442-nucleotide ribosomal RNA is filed under the name uncultured bacterium. RNAcentral's name for it is "partial 16S ribosomal RNA". It matches the Rfam family "Bacterial small subunit ribosomal RNA", at positions 338 to 795 of the family's 1533-position model. The record is from RNAcentral.
CCUACGGGAGGCAGCAGUGGGGAAUAUUGGGCAAUGGGCGCAAGCCUGACCCAGCAACGCCGCGUGAAGGAAGAAGGCUUUCGGGUUGUAAACUUCUUUUAAGAGGGAAGAGCAGAAGACGGUACCUCUUGAAUAAGCCACGGCUAACUACGUGCCAGCAGCCGCGGUAAUACGUAGGUGGCAAGCGUUGUCCGGAUUUACUGGGUGUAAAGGGCGUGCAGCCGGGAAGACAAGUCAGAUGUGAAAUCCCGGGGCUCAACCCGGGAACUGCAUUUGAAACUGUUUUUCUUGAGUACCGGGAAGGUAAUCGGAAUUCCUUGUGUAGCGGUGAAAGGCGUAGAUAUAAGGAAGAACACCAGUGGCGAAGGCGGAUGACUGGACGGCAACUGACGGUGAGGCGCGAAAGCGUGGGGAGCAAACAGGAUUAGAUACCCGAGUAGUC